RNAcentral lists this small RNA (100 nucleotides) under Salmonella enterica. Its description in RNAcentral is "partial RtT sRNA". It matches the Rfam family "RtT RNA", at positions 1 to 98 of the family's 130-position model. Rfam says of the family: This family represents a bacterial cis-regulatory element known as RtT RNA. The exact function of RtT is unknown although it is thought that it may be involved in changing the cellular response in relation to amino acid starvation. The record is from RNAcentral. Lineage: Bacteria; Pseudomonadati; Pseudomonadota; Gammaproteobacteria; Enterobacterales; Enterobacteriaceae.
AUAUCUCUCUGUACGGGAAGGAUGAGAAGCUUCGACCAAGGUUCGAUUCGAGCGUCAGCGAGAAAGCGUUGCCGCAGGCAACGACCCGAAGGGCGAAGCG